Non-coding RNA from Myotis davidii, 75 nucleotides. The record is from Rfam. NCBI's taxonomy places the organism in Eukaryota, Metazoa, Chordata, Mammalia, Chiroptera, Vespertilionidae.
GGCUGUUCUUGGGCAACGCACCCUAGAAUCGGGCUCCCUCCUCUCUGGUUUAGGCUGCAUCACCCAAGAACCACA